This is a non-coding RNA of Nerophis lumbriciformis (worm pipefish), 2025 nucleotides long. The record is from RefSeq and is a predicted model, not a curated record. NCBI's taxonomy places the organism in Eukaryota, Metazoa, Chordata, Actinopteri, Syngnathiformes, Syngnathidae.
GAUUUAAUUCCUGUUUUCCCCACAGGUGGAUAUCUUCCAGAAGGAUCUGUUGUUAAUCCCUAUCCACCUGGAAGUGCACUGGUCCCUGGUCAGCGUGGACAUUCCCCGCAAAGCCAUCACCUACUUUGACUCCCAGCGGACCCUCAAUAGACGCUGCCCAAAGCACAUUUUUAAGUAUCUGCAAGCGGAGGCCGUCAAAAAAGACCAACAAGAAUUUUUGAUGGGGUGGAAAGGAUUUUUCAAAAUGAACGUGGGCCGUCAGAACAAUGACAGCGAUUGUGGGGCGUUUGUGUUGCAGGUAAGUUUGGCAAAUGCUUUAACAACCGGCAAAAGGAGCGAUCGCAUUACCGGGUAAUUAUGACUUGUCUGUGACCAUGUGCCGAUGCCAAACAAGCAAUCUAGAAUUUGAGUCGUUUCAUUGUUUUUUUUUCCAGCUUUAUGGCCGUUUGACAGCGGCCGCCUUACCAGAAAGUUAAUAACUGGCUCGAGGAGAACUAUUUAUAUGAUAAUGAGAAUGAGAAUACAAUUAUUUUUUAGAAACUCAACAUAGUACAGAUAAAACAAUUGAUACAAUUAACAUAAACAAAUGAAAGAUAGCAGAGAAGCAAAUAUUUUGUAGAUAAGGCUCUGAUUUACAUCCUUUGUUUUUUGCCCUUAAAGUCCUCGUGUCCAGAGACAUACUUCCUAAAUUUGUAAACAAUAACAAAAAUGAGAAAAUAAUUUUUUUAUAGUAAAAAAUAUCGCUCUAACCACUGUCGUAUCGGCCUUACUAUACUUGGUAUUGUUACUAAUGAUAUUUGUAUCAAUCUGCCUUUGUUUACAUUCAAGAACUUUACUUGAGCAUAUAUUUACUACGGUGUGUAGUAUAGCAUGUUUUAGGAUAUCUCUAGACAAGGUCAAAUGCUGCUGACACUUCUUCUGUAUUUGACUAUCUAAAAAUGUCUUCUCGCCAUGUCUCCAACACGAAUGCGUUCAGAACUUUUGCCUCUCCCUCGUCCCGCCGUGCGCAAUGCGCAUGCAUGGGAUUGACGCUACAUACUCAAACACGCUCCGAACUGAGUACCGUAUUUUCCGCACUGGGUUACGUUAUACAUCCAUUAGAUGGAGCUGCGCUAAAGGGAAUGUCAACAAAACAUUCAGGUCAGUCAAACUUUAUUAAUAUAUUACAAACCAGCGUUCUGACAACUCUGUUCACUCCCAAAAUGAAUAAACAGCUGUUUUAUUAUUUUCCCCGAGGUAAAGUCAGUGACGUGGUAUUUUGUUUUUUUUAACAACAGCAAGGUAUAACAUGUAGUGCAACAUUUAUAUCACAUAGUGGAGGGGAACUUUUCCUCGAUUCAAUAAACACGUAAAAAACAGUCUGAUACUGUUACGGUAAAUCAAACGUUAGUGCAAUCACAAUAUAGUAACACUCGAAAUAGUGCAGAGCAAUAACAAUAUAUCAAUAACUCAACGUUGCUCAAACGUUGAUGUCACACAACACAACACACAAAAUAAACAUGUAAAGCUCACUUUAUUAAGUCAUUCCUCAUCCACGAAUCCCUCAAAUUCUUCUUCUUCAAUGUCCGAAUUAAACAGUUGGGCGGAUACGGCAUCCAACAUGCGUCUCGUCGAAGUCGUCAUUAAUCGAGUCAGUGUCGCUGCUGUUGUCUCGCAGUUCAGUGACAAUUCCUGCCUUCCUCAUAUAUCCCAGCAGUACAGGGGAAAAUUAAGUCGGCGGCUGCUUACCGUAGUUGCGAAACCUGUUGUGGCUCAAUAUUGGUCCAUAUAUAAGGCGCAGCGGAUUAUAAGGCGCACUGUCAGCUUUUGAUAAAAUUGGAGGUUUUUAGGUGCGCCUUGUAGUGCGGAAAAUAUGGCAGUUAAAAAAAUAAAUCUAGGAUUCAAAUGACACGCUCUAAACAGUGUCAGAUCAACCAAACCAUUACAUCCCUAAUAUGUUCAUAUUUUUGUUUUUACCCUUAUUGAUAUGUGAUUUAAAUGAUAGUGUACUAUGUAGGAUGACACGCAGACUCUUAACCUGAGGGG